GGUGAACGCUGGCGGCGUGCCUAAGACAUGCAAGUCGAGCGGGGCAGGUUUAUACCUGUUCAGCGGCGGACGGGUGAGUAACGCGUGGGUGACCUACCCGGAAGAGGCGGACAACCUGGGGAAACCUAGGCUAAUCCGCCAUGUGGUCCUGUCCUGUGGGGCAGGACUAAAGGGUGGAUAGCCCGCUUCCGGAUGGGCCCGCGUCCCAUCAGCUAGUUGGUGGGGUAAAGGCCCACCAAGGCGACGACGGGUAGCCGGUCUGAGAGGAUGGCCGGCCACAGGGGCACUGAGACACGGGCCCCACUCCUACGGGGGGCAGCAGUUAGGAAUCUUCCGCAAUGGGCGCAAGCCUGACGGAGCGACGCCGCUUGGAGGAGGAAGCCCUUCGGGGUGUAAACUCCUGAACUGGGGGCGAAAGCCCCGUGUAGGGGGAUGACGGUACCCAGGUAAUAGCGCCGGCCAACUCCGUG
RNAcentral lists this ribosomal RNA (470 nucleotides) under uncultured bacterium. RNAcentral describes it as "partial 16S ribosomal RNA". It matches the Rfam family "Bacterial small subunit ribosomal RNA", at positions 28 to 507 of the family's 1533-position model. The record is from RNAcentral.